GUCUCUUCGGGGACAUCCGAGAAAAUUGGAAUGCUAUAGAGAAAAUUAGCAUAGCCCUACGCAAGGAUGAUAUUACAAAUAGAGAAAUGGUCCAAUGUUUU
Small nuclear RNA from Panicum virgatum (switchgrass), 101 nucleotides. The record is from RefSeq and is a predicted model, not a curated record. NCBI's taxonomy places the organism in Eukaryota, Viridiplantae, Streptophyta, Magnoliopsida, Poales, Poaceae.